UACGGGGGGGGCAAGCGUUGUUCGGAAUUACUGGGCGUAAAGGGCUCGUAGGCGGCCAACUAAGUCGGAUGUGAAAUCCCCAGGCUUAACCUGGGAGCUGCAUCCGAUACUGGAUGGCUUGAAUCCGGGAGAGGGAUGCAGAAUUCCAGGUGUAGCGGUGAAAUGCGUAGAUAUCUGGAGGAAUACCGGUGGCGAAGGCGGCAUCCUGGACCGGCAUUGACGCUGAGUGAGCGAAAGCGUGGGGAGCGAACAGG
RNAcentral lists this ribosomal RNA (254 nucleotides) under uncultured bacterium. RNAcentral describes it as "partial 16S ribosomal RNA". It matches the Rfam family "Bacterial small subunit ribosomal RNA", at positions 524 to 776 of the family's 1533-position model. The record is from RNAcentral.